GCACGCCGGACGACGUCCGCGAGAAGUCCACUGAACCUUAUCAUUUAGAGGAAGGAGAAGUCGUAACAAGGUUUCAGUAGGUGAACCUGUGGAAGGAUCAUUGUCGAUGCCCCCCGAAAUCGACGGAACGACCCGCGGACCGGUUUGAGAACGCCGCCGCCGUCGGGGCCGCGCGCCCGGACGGCACAAACAACAACCCACCCCCGGCGCCAGUCGCGCCAAGGAAACGAAAAGAGCGCCCGCGCGCCCCCGGGCACCCGGCCAUCGGGAUCCCGUCCGGGGAGCGCCGGGCCGUGCCAGCGAUAUGCCACGCAUGCACAAAACGACUCUCGGCAACGGAUAUCUCGGCUCUCGCAUCGAUGAAGAACGUAGCGAAAUGCGAUACUUGGUGUGAAUUGAUGAAUCCUGCAAACCAUCGAAUCUUUGAACGCAAGUUGUGCCCGAAGCCAUCUGGCCGAGGGCACGCCUGCCUGGGCGUCAGGUAACGUCGCCCUCGCCCCCACAGUGGGUCUCCCGGUUGGACAAAACACGAGCAUGUGAGGGCAGUCGCCACGAUCCACGGUGGGAGGAGUGGAACCCGCUCGAGACCCGGCCGUGCGCAAGCUGCCGUCGAGCGAUGCUGCAGGACCCAAGAGUUGCUCUCGACGCGACCCCAGGUCAGGCGGGGACACCCGCUGAGUUUAAGCAUAUCAAUAAGCGGAGGAA
RNAcentral lists this ribosomal RNA (705 nucleotides) under Delonix brachycarpa. Its description in RNAcentral is "eukaryotic LSU rRNA". The stretch from base 325 to 480 matches the Rfam family "5.8S ribosomal RNA". Lineage: Eukaryota; Viridiplantae; Streptophyta; Magnoliopsida; Fabales; Fabaceae. The record is from RNAcentral.